CCCAACCGGGAUUGCCUUAGUAACGGCGAGUGAAGCGGCAAAAGCUCAAAUUUGAAAUCUGGUACCUUCGGUGCCCGAGUUGUAAUUUGGAGAGGGCAACUUUGGGGCCGUUCCUUGUCUAUGUUCCUUGGAACAGGACGUCAUAGAGGGUGAGAAUCCCGUGUGGCGAGGAGUGCGGUUCUUUGUAAAGUGCCUUCGAAGAGUCGAGUUGUUUGGGAAUGCAGCUCUAAGUGGGUGGUAAAUUCCAUCUAAAGCUAAAUAUUGGCGAGAGACCGAUAGCGAACAAGUACAGUGAUGGAAAGAUGAAAAGAACUUUGAAAAGAGAGUGAAAAAGUACGUGAAAUUGUUGAAAGGGAAGGGCAUUUGAUCAGACAUGGUGUUUUGUGCCCUCUGCUCCUUGUGGGUAGGGGAAUCUCGCAUUUCACUGGGCCAGCAUCAGUUUUGGUGGCAGGAUAAAUCCAUAGGAAUGUAGCUUGCCUCGGUAAGUAUUAUAGCCUGUGGGAAUACUGCCAGCUGGGACUGAGGACUGCGACGUAAGUCAAGGAUGCUGGCAUAAUGGUUAUAUGCCGCCCGUCUUGAAACACGGACCUCCUGUGUGAGUGGACCCCCCUAAA
RNAcentral lists this ribosomal RNA (614 nucleotides) under Saccharomyces cerevisiae (brewer's yeast). Its description in RNAcentral is "eukaryotic LSU rRNA". It matches the Rfam family "Eukaryotic large subunit ribosomal RNA", at positions 64 to 664 of the family's 3401-position model. The record is from RNAcentral. Lineage: Eukaryota; Fungi; Ascomycota; Saccharomycetes; Saccharomycetales; Saccharomycetaceae.